RNAcentral lists this ribosomal RNA (301 nucleotides) under uncultured bacterium. Its description in RNAcentral is "partial 16S ribosomal RNA". It matches the Rfam family "Bacterial small subunit ribosomal RNA", at positions 509 to 807 of the family's 1533-position model. The record is from RNAcentral.
CAGUCGCCGCGGUAAUACGAAGGGUGCAAGCGUUACUCGGAAUUACUGGGCGUAAAGCGUGCGUAGGUGGUGGUUUAAGUCCGUUGUGAAAUCCCCGGGCUCAACCUGGGAAUGGCAAUGGAUACUGGCAAGCUAGAGUGUGUCAGAGGAUGGUGGAAUUCCCGGUGUAGCGGUGAAAUGCGCAGAGAUCGGGAGGAACAUCAGUGGCGAAGGCGGCCAUCUGGGACAACACUGACGCUGAGGCACGAAAGCGUGGGGAGCAAACAGGAUUAGAUACCCCUGUAGUCCCUGUCUCUUAUAC